This 745-nucleotide ribosomal RNA is filed under the name uncultured bacterium. RNAcentral's name for it is "bacterial SSU rRNA". It matches the Rfam family "Bacterial small subunit ribosomal RNA", at positions 60 to 805 of the family's 1533-position model. The record is from RNAcentral.
AGUCGAACGGUAAGGGGGCAACCCCUUGAGAGUGGCGAACGGGUGAGUAAUGUAUCGGAACGUGCCCAGUCGUGGGGGAUAACGUAGUGAAAAUUACGCUAAUACCGCAUACGAUCUAUGGAUGAAAGCGGGGGAUUGCAAGACCUCGCGCGAUUGGAGCGGCCGAUAUCAGAUUAGGUAGUUGGUGGGGUAAAGGCUCACCAAGCCAACGAUCUGUAGCUGGUCUGAGAGGACGACCAGCCACACUGGAACUGAGACACGGUCCAGACUCCUACGGGAGGCAGCAGUGGGGAAUUUUGGACAAUGCACGCAAGUCUGAUCCAGCCAUUCCGCGUGCAGGACGAAGGCCUUCGGGUUGUAAACUGCUUUUGUACGGAACGAAAAAGCUCUUAUUAAUACUAGGAGUCCAUGACGGUACCGUAAGAAUAAGCACCGGCUAACUACGUGCCAGCAGCCGCGGUAAUACGUAGGGUGCAAGCGUUAAUCGGAAUUACUGGGCGUAAAGCGUGCGCAGGCGGUUAUAUAAGACAGAUGUGAAAUCCCCGAGCUUAACUUGGGAACUGCAUUUGUGACUGUAUAGCUAGAGUACGGCAGAGGGGGAUGGAAUUCCGCGUGUAGCAGUGAAAUGCGUAGAUAUGCGGAGGAACACCGAUGGCGAAGGCAAUCCCCUGGGCCUGUACUGACGCUCAUGCACGAAAGCGUGGGGAGCAAACAAGAUUAAAUACCCUGGUAGUCCACGCCCUAA